RNAcentral lists this long non-coding RNA (465 nucleotides) under Homo sapiens (human). RNAcentral's name for it is "non-protein coding lnc-NT5DC1-4:1". Lineage: Eukaryota; Metazoa; Chordata; Mammalia; Primates; Hominidae. The record is from RNAcentral.
CUUCGAUCGGAAGAGACUUCUCAUCUCAUUUCUGGGGGCCUGUCCGGGAUUUCUCUGAAGUGAAUAGAAUCCAUGAAACUGCAAGUGGUUCUACAAAUGGAGCCCCAAAUGACCACCACUAGCACCUACUAUCGAGGACCCCUAGACUGACCUACCAACCUGUUCUAACACCACGACACUGAAGAAGACUCCCCUCCUGAGGAACCCUCAACUGCAGAUCCCCUUCUGUGCCCCAGUUCAGCAGGAAGUAGCUAGAAUGAUCAUUGCCCAACUUCUCAACAGCACUUGGGCUUUCCUGUUGAGAGGGGGUACUGAGGCACUAAGUGGCUAAGUUAGCUAGACUUCCUGGGUCAACAGGGACUUCCCUAAGGGGACAUUCCUCUAAGCCAAAAUGAGUCAUAGCUGCAAGCUAAGGGAUUGAAACUUCAACCAAUCAAAGGGGACUUUCUCCUAAGCAAAAAUGAG